UUCGAACGAGAGAGAGUGAAAGAGGGAUUUCUGAAAGUCAGGGAUUUUGUAAUAUUAGAUUUAUUAUAAUUUUUAUAAAUGACCUAUGAGAGCGCUUUUACCAUGAAAGCGCUUUCAUAGAUGUGAGACUGAGACCUAUAAGAGCGCUUUUACCUUAAAAGCGCUUUCAUAAGUCUGAAACCCAUGAGACCUAUAAGAGCGCUUUUACCUCAAAAGCGCUUUCAUAAGUGUGAAACCCAUGAGACCUAUAAGAGCGCUUUUACCUUAAAAGCG
This 273-nucleotide long non-coding RNA is filed under the name Lathyrus oleraceus (garden pea). Its description in RNAcentral is "Pisum sativum (pea) long non-coding RNA (PSAT_LNC000312)". The record is from RNAcentral. Lineage: Eukaryota; Viridiplantae; Streptophyta; Magnoliopsida; Fabales; Fabaceae.